Molecule: small nucleolar RNA, 95 nt
Organism: Dioscorea cayenensis subsp. rotundata (Guinea yam)
Lineage: Eukaryota; Viridiplantae; Streptophyta; Magnoliopsida; Dioscoreales; Dioscoreaceae
Product: small nucleolar RNA snoR1
Exons: 1
Source: RefSeq, a predicted model, not a curated record
GGUAGUGAUGAAAGAUUGCUUGUUUCCAACACUUCUUAUAUGAGAAGUGCUUUUUGAAAGCCCUUCCACAAACAAACUAGCAUCUUUACUGAGCC